AUUGAACGCUGGCGGCAGGCCUAACACAUGCAAGUCGAACGGUAACAGGAAGAAGCUUGCUUCUUUGCUGACGAGUGGCGGACGGGUGAGUAAUGUCUGGGAAACUGCCUGAUGGUGGGGGAUAACUACUGGAAACGGUAGCUAAUACCGCAUAACGUCGCAAGACCAAAGAGGGGGACCUUCGGGCCUCUUGCCAUCGGAUGUGCCCAGAUGGGAUUAGCUAGUAGGUGGGGUAACGGCUCACCUAGGCGACGAUCCCUAGCUGGUCUGAGAGGAUGACCAGCCACACUGGAACUGAGACACGGUCCAGACUCCUACGGGAGGCAGCAGUGGGGAAUAUUGCACAAUGGGCGCAAGCCUGAUGCAGCCAUGCCGCGUGUAUGAAGAAGGCCUUCGGGUUGUAAAGUACUUUCAGCGGGGAGGAAGGGAGUAAAGUUAAUACCUUUGCUCAUUGACGUUACCCGCAGAAGAAGCACCGGCUAACUCCGUG
Molecule: ribosomal RNA, 490 nt
Filed under: uncultured bacterium
Lineage: Bacteria
Description: partial 16S ribosomal RNA
Rfam family: Bacterial small subunit ribosomal RNA
Source: RNAcentral